RNAcentral lists this long non-coding RNA (1454 nucleotides) under Vombatus ursinus (common wombat). Its description in RNAcentral is "lncRNA (ENSVURG00010012476.1)". Lineage: Eukaryota; Metazoa; Chordata; Mammalia; Diprotodontia; Vombatidae. The record is from RNAcentral.
GAGGAACGCACGCUGUCAGCUCGCUUGCUGACUUGACCAGUAGGGUCCGCAGUACACGCUGCCCGUUACACAGCGGGUUGGCGAGGCUACCCCUGGCAAGACUUCUGCCUUGCUUGGUCAUUACCUCUGCCACCUGGAUUCCCGCUGAGUGGCCGCCUGCCAGACCAACGGCGGAGAACUGAGGUCUUAGCCCUUGCUCUGCCACAAUGUCCAGAGAAAGGUGAGUAUCUCUGUGGCAGGGAAAGGGAGAAGGUGGUUUAGGGGCAAAGCCCCUCCCAACAAUCCCCAUUGGCUUUAUUUUUGCAGCGGUUCCGAGGAAUGCCAGGGGAAGGAGGAAUUUACCCAGGAUGUGAAGGAAGAUCAUGCUGAUCAGAAGGAAGAGCCAAACCCCGAUGAGCUUGUGAAUGGGAAGGAAGAGCCAAGCCAUGAUGAGCUUAUGAAUGGUAUACACGAGCGGAGCCCCGAUGUGCUUAUGAACGGCACACACGAGCCAAGCCCGGAUGAGCUCUUUGAUGGGGAGGAGGAUCCAAGUAUUGAUGAGCUUGUCUAUGGGGAUGAUGAUCCAAGCUUUGAUGAAGUUAUCUAUGAGGAGGGAGAUCCCAACCCUGAUGAGCUUGUCUGUGAGGAGGAAGGUGCCAGCUUAGAGGAGCUUGUCUGUGAGGAAGAAGACCCCCAUGCCGAUGAACUGAUCUGCCAAGAGGAGGAUCCUGACCCCGAUGAGCUUAUGUGUGAUGAGGGAGAUGAUGCCAUUGAUGAGGAAGAUGCCAAUCCCGAGGAGCUCAUCUGUGACGAGGAAGAUCCCAAUGCAGAGGAGCUCAUCUGUGAGGAAGAAGACCCAAACCCUGAUGAUCUUAUCUGUGAGGAGGAAAUCCCACACCCCGAUGAAGAGGAACUUAUUUGUGAGGAGGAAGACCCAAGUCCUAUUGAUCUCAUCUGUGAGGAGGAAGAUCCAAGCUUCCAUGAGCUCCUUUGUGGGGAGCAAGACCCAAGUCUCCAUGAGCUUUUUGAUGGGAGAGAUGAGCCAAGACCAAAUGGCAGGGAAGACCCAAGCCCUGAUGGCAGGGAAGACCCAAGCCCUGAUGGCAGGGAAGACCCAAAUCCUGAUAGCAGGCAAGAUCCAAGUGCUGGUGAGCUUUUUGAUGGGAAGAAAAAUCAAAGUCCCAGUGAGCAUGCGGAAGGGAAGGAGGAAAAAAGCCCUGAUGGGAAGGAAGAUGGAUGGAAUGGGAAAGAGGAAGAGAACAAGAAGAGGGGGAUUGAACCUGGAAGACAGCAAAGUGGUAGCGGCUCAACAGAAUCCUCCCGCUCCCGGAAAAGAAAGGCAGAUGUAGCUGUGUUUUUGCUGGAUCCAGAUGAAGUAUUGGCCAAAAGGGAAACAAUUGGAAGAACUGCGGUCAGGAUACCGGUAAGCUUCAUAGUCCGCAAGCAUGAUCCUUGUUAUUUCCUGAUAUUGACAA